This 321-nucleotide ribosomal RNA is filed under the name uncultured eukaryote. RNAcentral describes it as "partial 18S ribosomal RNA". It matches the Rfam family "Eukaryotic small subunit ribosomal RNA", at positions 1470 to 1796 of the family's 1831-position model. The record is from RNAcentral.
CCCUUAGAUGUUCUGGGCUGCACGCGCGCUACACUGAUGCGCUCAACGAGUUUUAACCUUGCCUGGAAAGGUUGGGUAAUCUUUUUAAAACGCAUCGUGAUGGGGAUAGAUUAUUGCAAUUAUUAAUCUUCAACGAGGAAUUCCUAGUAAGCGCAAGUCAUCAGCUUGCGUUGAUUACGUCCCUGCCCUUUGUACACACCGCCCGUCGCUUGUACCGAUUGGAUGGUCCGGUGAAAUCUUCGGAUAGCUGGUAGUUGGCUUGCCAUCUACUGCUAAAAGUUGCUUAAACCUUAUCAUCUAGAGGAACAAGAAGUCGUAACA